UACGGGGGGGGCAAGCGUUGUUCGGAAUUACUGGGCGUAAAGGGCGCGUAGGCGGCCUCUUAAGUCGAACGUGAAAUCCCCGGGCUCAACCCGGGAACUGCCUUUGAUACUAUCUGUCUUGAAUAUGGUGGAGGUAAGCGGAAUAUGUCAUGUAGCGGUGAAAUGCUUAGAGAUGACAUAGAACACCUAUUGCGAAGGCAGCUUACUACGCCUAUAUUGACGCUGAGGCACGAAAGCGUGGGGAUCAAACAGG
Molecule: ribosomal RNA, 253 nt
Filed under: uncultured bacterium
Lineage: Bacteria
Description: partial 16S ribosomal RNA
Rfam family: Bacterial small subunit ribosomal RNA
Source: RNAcentral